GCAUCGGUGGUUCAGUGGUAAAAUGCUCGCCUGCCACGCGGGUGGCCCGGGUUCGAUUCCCGGGCGACGCA
RNAcentral lists this transfer RNA (71 nucleotides) under Cordylochernes scorpioides. RNAcentral describes it as "tRNA-Gly". It matches the Rfam family "tRNA". Rfam says of the family: Transfer RNA (tRNA) molecules are approximately 80 nucleotides in length. Their secondary structure includes four short double-helical elements and three loops (D, anti-codon, and T loops). Lineage: Eukaryota; Metazoa; Arthropoda; Arachnida; Pseudoscorpiones; Chernetidae. The record is from RNAcentral.